GAUGAACGCUGGCAGCGUGCCUAAUACAUGCAAGUCGAGCGAACAGAUGAGGAGCUUGCUCCUCUGACGUUAGCGGCGGACGGGUGAGUAACACGUGGAUAACCUACCUAUAAGACUGGGAUAACUUCGGGAAACCGGAGCUAAUACCGGAUAAUAUAUUGAACCGCAUGGUUCAAUAGUGAAAGACGGUUUUGCUGUCACUUAUAGAUGGAUCCGCGCCGCAUUAGCUAGUUGGUAAGGUAACGGCUUACCAAGGCAACGAUGCGUAGCCGACCUGAGAGGGUGAUCGGCCACACUGGAACUGAGACACGGUCCAGACUCCUACGGGAGGCAGCAGUAGGGAAUCUUCCGCAAAGGGCGAAAGCCUGACGGAGCAACGCCGCGUGAGUGAUGAAGGUCUUCGGAUCGUAAAACUCUGUUAUUAGGGAAGAACAAAUGUGUAAGUAACUAUGCACGUCUUGACGGUACCUAAUCAGAAAGCCACGGCUAACUACGUG
RNAcentral lists this ribosomal RNA (497 nucleotides) under uncultured bacterium. RNAcentral describes it as "partial 16S ribosomal RNA". It matches the Rfam family "Bacterial small subunit ribosomal RNA", at positions 28 to 507 of the family's 1533-position model. The record is from RNAcentral.